UUGAGGUGAAGGUACUCCUUUUAGAUCUAGUUGGGAUAGUUUGGAGAUUAAUUGAUCCAUAAGGGAUUUGUUAUUUUCUCCAAUGUGGAAUUUAUUCUUAUUUAACUCAGGUGGUGGUUUAAAUAAUACUGACUUAGGUAUGGGAGAUACCGUAGGUAAUUCCUUGGAUACUAUUCUUUCUAUUCUUUCAGUUUGCUUUCCAAGGGAUUGUAGAUAUAAGUUUGUAUAAUUAUUUUGUUCUACAAUAUGGGGUAUGUACUCUUGUUUUUUAUUGAUCUCUUUAGGUAUGGCUUUAU
This 296-nucleotide long non-coding RNA is filed under the name Amborella trichopoda. Its description in RNAcentral is "long non-coding RNA (ATRI_LNC000494)". The record is from RNAcentral. Lineage: Eukaryota; Viridiplantae; Streptophyta; Magnoliopsida; Amborellales; Amborellaceae.